AUCCCAUGGUGCGGACGGGCAGCAACAUACUCUUGCAUUCUCUCCCAAGCAUCAAGAAUGGAUUCCUCAGCUUGUUGUGUAAAACUGGAGAUUUUAUUGCAAAGAGC
Small nucleolar RNA from Sorghum bicolor (sorghum), 107 nucleotides. It matches the Rfam family "Plant small nucleolar RNA R71". From Rfam's summary of the family: R71 is a member of the C/D box family of snoRNAs containing the C (UGAUGA) and D (CUGA) box motifs. Multiple nearly identical copies of this snoRNA have been identified in Arabidopsis, and it is thought to function as a 2'-O-ribose methylation guide for 18S ribosomal RNA. The record is from Rfam. Lineage: Eukaryota; Viridiplantae; Streptophyta; Magnoliopsida; Poales; Poaceae.